Molecule: long non-coding RNA, 371 nt
Filed under: Rattus norvegicus (Norway rat)
Lineage: Eukaryota; Metazoa; Chordata; Mammalia; Rodentia; Muridae
Description: long non-coding RNA NONRATT027418
Source: RNAcentral
GCCGGCGGCCGCGGAGGGCGCAGCGGCCUCCUGUUCUCGCGCCAUGGAGAAGAGCUCGAGCUGCGAGAGUCUUGGCGCGCAGCUCCCGGCGGCAAGGCUUCCCAGCGAGGACUCACUGUCCAGUUCAUGUGUUAAGAACCAUUGACAUUUGAAGAUCGUCAGAACUGAAGAUAAAACAUCUCAAAAAGUAUAAUUGCUUCCACUUCUCAUUCAGAGAACUCGGUUCAUACCAAAUCAGUUUCUGCUAUAUCAUCAGAUUCUAUUUCAACCUCUGCAGACAACUUCUCUCCUGAUCUGAGGGUCCUGAGGGAGGCAAACAAAUUAGCAGAAAUGGAGGAACCAGCCCUGCUUCCAGGAGAGAACAUCAAAGA